AGUGGACGCUGGCGGUAGGCCUAACACAUGCAAGUCGAACGGCAGCACAGUAAGAGCUUGCUCUUACGGGUGGCGAGUGGCGGACGGGUGAGGAAUACAUCGGAAUCUACUUUUUCGUGGGGGAUAACGUAGGGAAACUUACGCUAAUACCGCAUACGACCUACGGGUGAAAGCAGGGGAUCUUCGGACCUUUCGCGAUUGAAUGAGCCGAUGUCGGAUUAGCUAGUUGGCGGGGUAAAGGCCCACCAAGGCGACGAUCCGUAGCUGGUCUGAGAGGAUGAUCGGCCACACUGGAACUGAGACACGGUCCAGACUCCUACGGGAGGCAGCAGUGGGGAAUAUUGGACAAUGGGCGAAAGCCUGAUCCAGCCAUACCGCGUGGGUGAAGAAGGCCUUCGGGUUGUAAAGCCCUUUUGUUGGGAAAGAAAAGCAGCAGGUUAAUACCCCGCUGUUCUGACGGUACCCAAAGAAUAAGCACCGGCUAACUUCGUG
This 492-nucleotide ribosomal RNA is filed under the name uncultured bacterium. RNAcentral's name for it is "partial 16S ribosomal RNA". It matches the Rfam family "Bacterial small subunit ribosomal RNA", at positions 29 to 507 of the family's 1533-position model. The record is from RNAcentral.